CCUACGGGGGGCAGCAGUGGGGAAUAUUGGACAAUGGGGGCAACCCUGAUCCAGCCAUGCCGCGUGUGUGAAGAAGGCCCUCGGGUUGUAAAGCACUUUCAGUGAGGAAGAACGCCUGGUGGUUAAUACCCAUCAGGAAAGACAUCACUCACAGAAGAAGCACCGGCUAACUCCGUGCCAGCAGCCGCGGUAAUACGGAGGGUGCGAGCGUUAAUCGGAAUUACUGGGCGUAAAGCGCGCGUAGGUGGCUUGAUAAGCCGGUUGUGAAAGCCCCGGGCUCAACCUGGGAACGGCAUCCGGAACUGGCAAGCUAGAGUGCAGGAGAGGAGGGUAGAAUUCCCGGUGUAGCGGUGAAAUGCGUAGAGAUCGGGAGGAAUACCAGUGGCGAGGGCGGCCUUCUGGACUGACACUGACACUGAGGUGCGAAAGCGUGGGUAGCAAACAGGAUUAGAUACCCUAGUAGUC
RNAcentral lists this ribosomal RNA (465 nucleotides) under Vreelandella stevensii. RNAcentral's name for it is "partial 16S ribosomal RNA". It matches the Rfam family "Bacterial small subunit ribosomal RNA", at positions 338 to 795 of the family's 1533-position model. Lineage: Bacteria; Pseudomonadati; Pseudomonadota; Gammaproteobacteria; Oceanospirillales; Halomonadaceae. The record is from RNAcentral.